UAUACCUUACUGUUGCCUCGGCGUAUGCUGGCCCCUAGGGGUCCCUCUUGUCUCAGAGGAGCAGGCACGCCGGCGGCCAAGUUAACUCUUGUUUUUACACUGAAACUCUGAGAAAAAAAACAAAAAUGAAUCAAAACUUUCAACAACGGAUCUCUUGGUUCUGGCAUCGAUGAAGAACGCAGCGAAAUGCGAUAAGUAAUGUGAAUUGCAGAAUUCAGUGAAUCAUCGAAUCUUUGAACGCACAUUGCGCCCUCCGGUAUUCCGGAGGGCAUGCCUGUUCGAGCGUCAUUUCAACCCUCAAGCCUGGCUUGGUGUUGGGGCACUGCUUCUCUCGCGGGAAGCAGGCCCUCAAAUCUAGUGGCGAGCUCGCCAGGACCCCGAGCGUAGUAGUUAAACCCUCGCUUUGGAAGGCCCUGGCGGUGCCCUGCCGUUAAACCCCCAACUCUUUGAAAAUUUGACCUCGGAUCAGGUAGGAAUACCCGCUGAACUUAAGCAU
RNAcentral lists this ribosomal RNA (496 nucleotides) under Diaporthe tersa. RNAcentral's name for it is "eukaryotic LSU rRNA". The stretch from base 135 to 288 matches the Rfam family "5.8S ribosomal RNA". Lineage: Eukaryota; Fungi; Ascomycota; Sordariomycetes; Diaporthales; Diaporthaceae. The record is from RNAcentral.